RNAcentral lists this ribosomal RNA (470 nucleotides) under uncultured bacterium. Its description in RNAcentral is "bacterial SSU rRNA". It matches the Rfam family "Bacterial small subunit ribosomal RNA", at positions 915 to 1391 of the family's 1533-position model. The record is from RNAcentral.
GGGGACCCGCAAGCGGUGGAUGAUGUGGAUUAAUUCGAUGCAACGCGAAAAACCUUACCUACCCUUGACAUGUACGGAAGCCUUGAGAGAUCAGGGCGUGCUCGAAAGAGAGCCGUAACACAGGUGCUGCAUGGCUGUCGUCAGCUCGUGUCGUGAGAUGUUGGGUUAAGUCCCGCAACGAGCGCAACCCUUGUCAUUAGUUGCUACGAAAGGGCACUCUAAUGAGACUGCCGGUGACAAACCGGAGGAAGGUGGGGAUGACGUCAAGUCCUCAUGGCCCUUAUGGGUAGGGCUUCACACGUCAUACAAUGGUACAUACAGAGGGCCGCCAACCCGCGAGGGGGAGCUAAUCCCAGAAAGUGUAUCGUAGUCCGGAUCGCAGUCUGCAACUCGACUGCGUGAAGUUGGAAUCGCUAGUAAUCGCGGAUCAGCAUGUCGCGGUGAAUACGUUCCCGGGUCUUGUACACACC